Rhipicephalus microplus (southern cattle tick) is the source of this 2371-nucleotide long non-coding RNA. RefSeq lists it as uncharacterized. NCBI's taxonomy places the organism in Eukaryota, Metazoa, Arthropoda, Arachnida, Ixodida, Ixodidae. The record is from RefSeq and is a predicted model, not a curated record.
UUGGCUGAGACAAUCUUCGUCGUAAAAAACGCCUUCCGAUCAUUUGGAGGCACGCGAAUAACCUUCGAGUGUGCCGAAAAACGCUGUGAGCAUGCCUUUAUCUACGCUGCACUUUAGUGCAGUCGGCAGGGUUGGUCCGUUUUCAACGCUUGCAGGAGACUCGCAGAAUUGGACAGUCGUAUCCAGUGAAUAUUAAGAAGACGUCGAGAAGCUGGUCUCCGUGCUUGCUGUGUCUCUACACCACGGGUCUAAUGUUGAAUUCCAAUGGCAAAGCCCGAGCAGCCGACGGACUCUGCGAGCGAGCGCGCAACUCUGGAGUAGAGCAUAGCCUCCAGAUUCGUGAUGGGAACACAACACAUGCAACUGGAGCAAGGUGGAAAGGCAACGAUGGCCAGCAGUCCAGCUACUACAGAUUGUGUGAAGAAGCCACGUCGGCGGGCCUGCCACCUAUGUAACAUGUGUGACUAUAAAACUUAUCAUUCCGGUAGGCUGAAGACACAUAUAAUGGUUCACACUGGUGAACGGCCUUAUGAAUGCCACCUGUGCCCGCGGAGCUUCUCACAGUUUGUCUUGUUGAAGAAUCACCUGGUCACUCACACAUCCGAACGGCCAUUUCAGUGCCCUUUAUGCCUUCAGAAGUUCCGGCGCAAAGACAUCCUCAAGAGACACCACCAACGGCGGCAUGAAUGUCAUUGACCAUUUCAGAAGGAGUUCUCCUGUUGGAUCCUUUCUUUUGUUGUUGUAAGAGAACGAUUUACUGAUUUUCGGGAGCUCUGUAGCAUUGCCAAGCUUCGUAGGGCUGCAAAAAUCAUGAAUGGAAUAGUCCUUGCACUGCCUCAGUACUGCUGCUAGGGCAUCAAGAUGCAUGCAAUGAAACACUGUGACUAUGUUAGAUAUCCUUCUUUAUUGCCUCCUUUGCAGAGUUCUUGAUUGAUCAUUUAAACAGAAUGUGUGCAACGAGCAUAUGCUCUCCAAAAAAAGUUAGGUUCAUGAUGUUUAGCUGACACUCCUCUACAUAGUCAACUUCAAAUGUUUUGUAGGCCAAUAACUGUGGCAUGCUGCAAUUUGGUUCUGUGGAAUCUCACAAAGAGGUGGAAAGAGCAAGAAAGGGGAACUGACAACCACCUCUUUGUAGCGUGUAGCGUAAAGGCCAUACGGAUUUCUCAGAAAGAAAGCAUCUAUAUAUUGCCAAAGAAUUUAUUUCAUUCCUGGAUCGGGACACAAGGACAGGCACUGACUCUCAAGUGAACAUUUUAUUGAAGAAACGAAGCAUAUGUAGAUACAGGAAAGCAUUUAAAAAAAUUAGGUUACAAUUCUAAUCAUGUGUGCGACGUCAGAUAGUGGAUUUUCUUGUCUAACAGAUCAAGUGACAGAAUGCACGCACAUCGCUUGGCUCUCUGGCAGAUAGCAAAGGCCUCGUACAUCCCUCUUUGAUCCCUUUGACAAAACUUGACGAGGACUCAUUAAAAGCUCAUGCAGGCCUUUGAUGAGAAACUUGUAUGGAAUUCCUUUUGGCUUGGGUGCUACAUAUGGGUCGUUUUCAAUUUCUUAAGAUUUCUGCUUAUAUGAACUUUUCUUUGUAUUAAGAAACGUUGUAAUGAGCUUGAGAAAGGUUGUUGCAUAUUAUUUUUUCAAAUUGCUAGUAUGCUUGCUGUUGAAAGACCUCUUUCUCUAGAGUCAAAGAAAGACUUCAGUGCUUUCUUGUGUGUUAGCUUACAGGGACGCGUCGAUGUUUUCAAAGGACUGCAAGUUGAUGGCUGUGUGAUGUCCCCGCAAACGCGGACUGAACCCCAGCCAUUUUAAGAUGUUUUCGUUCAUUUCUUAAACCCACGUCGGAAUCCUAGAAAAGCGGCCACGGGUCAAGGAAGGGGGGGUGCGAAGAGUCAUUCCCUGGGCCAAAAGGAAGUAUGCUGCGACGACUAAAGUGACAAAUUGGACAUCGACGCCAAGAACCAACCUUGGGCCCCCACUCGAGCAGCCAACUCCGAGGCCCCGACUACAUGGACAUUCCGUGAGACGAACUUCACCUCCCUUACUUAGACGAGCUUUGCGGAAAGGGAUGCGGCAUAUUGAGACAUUGCGUGGUUUUAUUAAUUAAUGACUUUAUCAUUUGUGUCAUCGUGUGUUUGCUCUGUAUUGAGGCACCCUUGUGUUGUCACCGUUACUUUGCUUAUGUAUCCUGUGUAGCGUGUCGUGAGUAUUUACUGAUGUGUUACAAUUUUGUGUAACAGAGAUGUCGUACACAAGCAGUAUGCGUGUACGCCAUUUGCACUUGCUAUUGAAUUAAAUGCGUCCAUAAUUAAGAAAAGAUCAUAGCGUCUCUUACUUCCCGGCCCCAGCACGAAUCCCUGUAGGUGGAAAGUGAUUGAGA